AUGGCACCUCUAGAUGAUGUUGGUUCUCGAAGAUUGUUCUUUAAGAGAAUUUUCAGCUCAGAUGAUCCCUGUCCCGCAGAACUGGAAGAAGUUUCUACUACGAUCUUAAAAAAAUGCGGUGGUCUACCAUUGGCUAUAAUUACAUUGGCAAGUUUGCUUGUCAACAAGACACAUAACAACGAUGAAUGGGAGAGACUACAAGAGUCCAUUGGUACUGGUUCUUCGCUUGAUAACAAUGAGACCUUCAAAGGGAUGAGACACAUAUUGUUACUUAGUUAUUUGGAUCUUCCGCGCCACCUGAAGACUUGUUUAUUAUACUUGUGUAUAUAUCCAGAGGACUAUGAAAUUGAAUGUGAAGAAUUGAAAUGGAAAUGGAUGGCCGAAGGAUUCAUUGCUACGUAA
This 402-nucleotide ribosomal RNA is filed under the name Triticum aestivum (bread wheat). RNAcentral's name for it is "partial small subunit ribosomal RNA". The record is from RNAcentral. Lineage: Eukaryota; Viridiplantae; Streptophyta; Magnoliopsida; Poales; Poaceae.